RNAcentral lists this ribosomal RNA (742 nucleotides) under uncultured bacterium. RNAcentral's name for it is "bacterial SSU rRNA". It matches the Rfam family "Bacterial small subunit ribosomal RNA", at positions 8 to 796 of the family's 1533-position model. The record is from RNAcentral.
AGAGUUUGAUCCUGGCUCAGAACGAACGCUGGCGGCAUGCCUAACACAUGCAAGUCGAACGAGGGCUUCGGCCCUAGUGGCGCACGGGUGAGUAACGCGUGGGAACCUGCCCUGUGGUACGGAAUAACUCCGGGAAACUGGAGCUAAUACCGUAUGUGUCCUGCGGGACAAAGAUUUAUCGCCAUGGGAUGGGCCCGCGUAGGAUUAGCUUGUUGGUGGGGUAACGGCCUACCAAGGCUUCGAUCCUUAGCUGGUCUGAGAGGAUGAUCAGCCACACUGGGACUGAGACACGGCCCAGACUCCUACGGGAGGCAGCAGUGGGGAAUAUUGGACAAUGGGCGCAAGCCUGAUCCAGCAAUGCCGCGUGAGUGAUGAAGGCCUUCGGGUUGUAAAGCUCUUUCGCACGCGACGAUGAUGACGGUAGCGUGAGAAGAAGCCCCGGCUAACUUCGUGCCAGCAGCCGCGGUAAUACGAAGGGGGCUAGCGUUGUUCGGAAUUACUGGGCGUAAAGGGCGCGUAGGCGGUACUUCAAGUCAGGCGUGAAAGCCCCGGGCUCAACCUGGGAACCGCGCUUGAGACUGGAGAACUAGAGUUCGGGAGAGGAUGGUGGAAUUCCCAGUGUAGAGGUGAAAUUCGUAGAUAUUGGGAAGAACACCGAUGGCGAAGGCAGCCAUCUGGACCGACACUGACGCUGAGGCGCGAAAGCGUGGGGAGCAAACAGGAUUAGAUACCCUAGUAGUCC